Molecule: unclassified non-coding RNA, 410 nt
Filed under: plant metagenome
Description: partial contains 5.8S ribosomal RNA, internal transcribed spacer 2, and large subunit ribosomal RNA
Rfam family: 5.8S ribosomal RNA (bases 1-105)
Source: RNAcentral
GAAAUGCGAUACGUAGUGUGAAUUGCAGAAUUCCGUGAAUCAUCGAAUCUUUGAACGCAUAUUGCGCUCGAGGCCUCGGCUAAGAGCAUGUCUGCCUCAGCGUCGGGUUAAUAUCAUACCACCAUACACUGUGUGUGUCUGAUGGUAUGGACCUGGCUGUUCCAGUGGCUUGACUCGUGGCAAACCUUACCUUCACUGGGGGGUUGGCACCAAGUCAAUCACAUGGUUGCUGGAUCAGCUGAAGCAUAGAGGCUAAUCAGGGACCCGCUAAGGGCCGCAACUGGGUAGGCAUUAACCACAUGCUACAUCUAGUUGUUGGUCUGGGACACUGUGUUGGCCCUCCAACAGGAACCAUUAACCCCUUAUUUUCUCGACCUGAGCUCAGGCAAGAACACCCGCUGAACUUAAGC